AUGUGGAACUCCCAUGCACUUAGCACUGUGAAAGGGAUUCAAAUAGAGGACUUCCAGGCACCAUACUUAGGCAUUUCGAAUAGUGAAGAAAAUCAUUUUCCCAAAGUGCUCUGUUGGGGAUGUUCCCUACGACUAAGACCCGGCCAAAAUUAUGACCCGACUAGGAGCAUGGAGGCUCUAUGGGUCACUCUAUUUUAUGGGUCAUGGAAGGGAAACAAGAAAGGUCCAAAGGCCCGGUGUGAGACCCAGCAGGAGGCCGGCUCACGGAAGAGCACAAUGGGCCGGCUCAAGAAGAAGGUGUUGGAAAUAUGCCCUGGAGGUAAUAAUAAAGUGGUUAUUAUUAUAUUUCCUUGUUCAUGA
Molecule: ribosomal RNA, 360 nt
Filed under: Triticum aestivum (bread wheat)
Lineage: Eukaryota; Viridiplantae; Streptophyta; Magnoliopsida; Poales; Poaceae
Description: partial small subunit ribosomal RNA
Source: RNAcentral